Molecule: ribosomal RNA, 251 nt
Filed under: uncultured bacterium
Lineage: Bacteria
Description: partial small subunit ribosomal RNA
Rfam family: Bacterial small subunit ribosomal RNA
Source: RNAcentral
AGGACGAACGCUGGCGGCGUGCUUAACACAUGUAAGUCGAGCGGAAAGGCCCUUUCGGGGGUACUCGAGCGGCGAACGGGUGAGUAACACGUGAGUAACCUGCCCUGGACUUUGGGAUAACCCUCGGAAACGGGGGCUAAUACCGGAUAUGACCACUGGAUGCAUGUUUGGUGGUGGAAAGUUUUUCGGUCUGGGAUGGGCUCGCGGCCUAUCAGCUUGUUGGUGGGGUGAUGGCCUACCAAGGCGACGAC